RNAcentral lists this ribosomal RNA (465 nucleotides) under Vreelandella stevensii. RNAcentral's name for it is "partial 16S ribosomal RNA". It matches the Rfam family "Bacterial small subunit ribosomal RNA", at positions 338 to 795 of the family's 1533-position model. Lineage: Bacteria; Pseudomonadati; Pseudomonadota; Gammaproteobacteria; Oceanospirillales; Halomonadaceae. The record is from RNAcentral.
CCUACGGGGGGCAGCAGUGGGGAAUAUUGGACAAUGGGGGGAACCCUGAUCCAGCCAUGCCGCGUGUGUGAAGACGGCCCUCGGGUUGUAAAGCACUUUCAGUGAGGAAGAACGCCUGGUGGUUAAUACCCAUCAGGAAAGACAUCACUCACAGAAGAAGCACCGGCUAACUCCGUGCCAGCAGCCGCGGUAAUACGGAGGGUGCGAGCGUUAAUCGGAAUUACUGGGCGUAAAGCGCGCGUAGGUGGCUUGAUAAGCCGGUUGUGAAAGCCCCGGGCUCAACCUGGGAACGGCAUCCGGAACUGUCAAGCUAGAGUGCAGGAGAGGAAGGUAGAAUUCCCGGUGUAGCGGUGAAAUGCGUAGAGAUCGGGAGGAAUACCAGUGGCGAAGGCGGCCUUCUGGACUGACACUGACACUGAGGUGCGAAAGCGUGGGUAGCAAACAGGAUUAGAUACCCCGGUAGUC